ACAACCCCAUCACAAAGAGUGUGGUAUUGGCAGAAGUGGGUAGGGCCAGCAAUGCUGGCCCCACUCUGCUGGAAUGAAUAGGCCGGAAAUGUAGACCAUGGUAAUAGACUUUCAGAGUAUUUUAAGAUGCUAAAUUAGUUUGUAGACUGGUCAGAAUCCAGGCCAUUGGACCCCCAUUCUGUGUAAAGCAGUAA
Molecule: unclassified non-coding RNA, 194 nt
Filed under: uncultured Tuber
Lineage: Eukaryota; Fungi; Ascomycota; Pezizomycetes; Pezizales; Tuberaceae
Description: sequence contains ITS2
Source: RNAcentral